UUGUGGAGAAGGACGCCGAAGGUGGGGCUGAUGACUGGGGUGAAGUCGUAACAAGGUAGCCGUACCGGAAGGUGCGGCUGGAUCACCUCCUAACAGGGAGACAAUUAAUUGAUUGUGAUGUCUAAGUCAUUUAUUCUUAGGCCGCAAUCCUGUCACCUUAAGGUCGAUCGGUACCUCAGAUUUUUGAAUUAAAUUUUAUAUUUAAUCCUUUAAUUUCAGUUCCUAAACUUGUCUAGGUCACACCCAACAAGGUUUCUCCUGGGCCAUUAGCUCAGGUGGUUAGAGCGCACCCCUGAUAAGGGUGAGGUCCCUGGUUCAAGUCCAGGAUGGCCCAUUCGUUGUUGGGGGUAUAGCUCAGUUGGUAGAGCGCCUGCUUUGCAAGCAGGAUGUCAGCGGUUCGAGUCCGCUUACCUCCACUGAAAUCCACCCUGGUAACUAAAUUCCGGAGAAAAUUUUGUAGAUGUGACUUAGAAUUGUCUAUUGAACAGACCCUAGCUUCUUAUCAUCUUUUUAUAGUUGAUAAAAUGCUGGGCUCGCAUGGAUUAUUUCCAUGAGAAUUCAGUAGAACCUUGAAAACUGCAUAGAUUAGAAAGAAUAAAGCAUCUCAUGGAUGCAUAAUUCUGUUUUUAUAAUUUAGCCCUAAAGCUAAAUUAUUUAAAUCUUGAAUUCAUGUUUAAUUCUUGAGUAAAAGCCGAGCACAAUUGAUUUUGUGAUUGUAUUAAGGUCAAGCUACAA
Molecule: unclassified non-coding RNA, 735 nt
Filed under: uncultured Prochlorococcus sp.
Lineage: Bacteria; Bacillati; Cyanobacteriota; Cyanophyceae; Synechococcales; Prochlorococcaceae
Description: partial 16S-23S ribosomal RNA intergenic spacer; may also contain 16S ribosomal RNA and 23S ribosomal RNA
Rfam family: tRNA (bases 344-416)
Source: RNAcentral